GAUGAACGCUGGCUACAGGCUUAACACAUGCAAGUCGAGGGGAAACGACGGGGAAGCUUGCUUCCCCGGGCGUCGACCGGCGCACGGGUGAGUAACGCGUAUCCAACCUGCCUCUGACUGAGGGAUAACCCGUCGAAAGUCGGCCUAAUACCUCAUGGCAUCGUCUGCGGGCAUCCAACGACGAUUAAAGAUUUCAUCGGUCAGGGAUGGGGAUGCGUCUGAUUAGCUAGUUGGCGGGGUAACGGCCCACCAAGGCGACGAUCAGUAGGGGUUCUGAGAGGAAGGUCCCCCACAUUGGAACUGAGACACGGUCCAAACUCCUACGGGAGGCAGCAGUGAGGAAUAUUGGUCAAUGGGCGAGAGCCUGAACCAGCCAAGUAGCGUGCAGGAUGACGGCCCUAUGGGUUGUAAACUGCUUUUAUGUGGGGAUAAAGUGAGGGACGUGUCCUUCAUUGCAGGUACCGCAUGAAUAAGGACCGGCUAAUUCCGUG
Molecule: ribosomal RNA, 491 nt
Filed under: uncultured bacterium
Lineage: Bacteria
Description: partial 16S ribosomal RNA
Rfam family: Bacterial small subunit ribosomal RNA
Source: RNAcentral